CCUACGGGCGGCUGCAGUUUCGAAUCAUUCACAAUGGGCGAAAGCCUGAUGGUGCGACGCCGCGUGAGGGAUGAAGGUCUUCGGAUUGUAAACCUCUGUCACUGGGGAGAAAACGCUUUGAGUUAAUAGUUCAAAGCCUGAUUUAACCCGGAGAGGAAGCAGUGGCUAACUCUGUGCCAGCAGCCGCGGUAAUACAGAGACUGCAAGCGUUAUUCGGAUUCGUGGGGCGGCGGUGGGGUGCAGGAGGUGGGAAAUCCCGAGGCUUAACCUCGGAACUGCGUCUGAAACUACUAGACUAGAGUACUGGAGAGGGAAACGGAAUUCACGGUGUAGCAGUGAAAUGCGUAGAUAUCGUGAGGAACACCAGAGGCGAAGGCGGUUUCCUGGACAGUUACUGACGCUCAGGCACGAAAGCAUGGGGAGCAAAAGGGAUUAGAUACCCCAGUAGUC
RNAcentral lists this ribosomal RNA (450 nucleotides) under uncultured bacterium. RNAcentral describes it as "partial 16S ribosomal RNA". It matches the Rfam family "Bacterial small subunit ribosomal RNA", at positions 338 to 795 of the family's 1533-position model. The record is from RNAcentral.